CCAUGUUUUUUUUUCUCCUUUCUUCUUGUUCCUCUUUCUCUUCCUUAGAUUUUCUUACCAUUUUCCCCAAUGGUCCACCGCCAAGGUCUUUCAUCCAUUUUAAAUUGUCAUUCUGCAACACUUUCAGAAUAUUAGUUACUUUAAAAAAAAUUUAAAUCGAAAGGACUUAUUAAUAAAAAGCUUCUACUUAUUAUUAUUCAUAUUUUUGUACAUAUUAUUUUAAAUAAAUUGAUAAUAAAUAGACUAAUGCCUCAAGAAUCAAUGUUUACUUAUAAAGCUCAAAAAGCAAUAUCUACAUUAUGAUAAGAUAAAGAUAGAUAUUAGUUGGCUGACCUUCUUUGAGGAUAAGUUUCCUCUGAAUUGAACUUCGUUGUGCAGUUUUUUCCAACACUUGAACAUAUCAAUAUCUCCUCCUUUUAUGAAAGAAGGCAGAUGGUCGUAAUCAGGAUGAUAAGUCCUAUAUAGAUGGACAGGCGUAUUCUCUUUAACAUCUUUUUCAUCUAAAAGGUAAAACAAUGAUGAAUGUUUGAGCACUGCUUUUAUUAUUUCAUUUUUUUUGCUGAUCACUGCAUAAUGAAUAACAUUCCAGCCUCUAAUAUCAGUAAGUUCGCAGCAAUCUGGGCAUUCAGAAAUGAUCUCUUUCACUAUGUCUUGGAAGCCUCGACAGGCUGCAAUGUGAAGAGCAGUCCUCUUCCAACAUUUAUCAGCAAUAUAGGCACUAGAUAUAUCAAAGCGUAAUAGGAUGCUAACCGCUGACCGUUUUCUUC
This 767-nucleotide unclassified non-coding RNA is filed under the name Hevea brasiliensis (rubber tree). The record is from RNAcentral. Lineage: Eukaryota; Viridiplantae; Streptophyta; Magnoliopsida; Malpighiales; Euphorbiaceae.